ACACACUGAUACAUAAUCAAAAACUAUUAUUAAUAAAAACAGUUACACACAUGUAUUAACAUAAUACAUAAACAAAAGUUGGAACAGUAACAGAAUUAAAUUAACUUUACCUUUUAUGCAUCUCUGGUGGCACUUUCUGUUGUCGGUAUCUUGCUGGCUUAAUUUGUUCACAAGGCCACUGUCUGAAGAAAACAGAGGAUUAUGAUAAUUGUGAGACGAAAACGAAGUUCUAUCUUCUUCGUCAUCAAUAUCCGAGCAUGAAUGGAACACGGUGGAGCUGCUGGCAGUUGAGAAACGAUCUGUUUCGAUAGCUGUUUGUGUUCGAUCAACGUUGUUAGCUUCGUGAGUGAUAGUGACACCAGCGUUGGUAUGUUUGUUUGUAGUGUGGGAAUUCUUGAUUGCUGCUGCAAGCUUCUUCUUGUGUACACAUGUUAAAAUUUUACAAAAUGGAAAGAAAGGUUUUCUCUUUU
Molecule: long non-coding RNA, 470 nt
Organism: Lathyrus oleraceus (garden pea)
Lineage: Eukaryota; Viridiplantae; Streptophyta; Magnoliopsida; Fabales; Fabaceae
Exons: 2
Source: RefSeq, a predicted model, not a curated record